AUUGAACGCUGGCGGCAUGCUUUACACAUGCAAGUCGAACGGUAACAGGCCGCAAGGUGCUGACGAGUGGCGAACGGGUGAGUAAUGCAUCGGAACGUGCCCAGUCGUGGGGGAUAACGCAGCGAAAGCUGCGCUAAUACCGCAUACGAUCUAUGGAUGAAAGCGGGGGACCGUAAGGCCUCGCGCGAUUGGAGCGGCCGAUGUCAGAUUAGGUAGUUGGUGGGGUAAAGGCUCACCAAGCCAACGAUCUGUAGCUGGUCUGAGAGGACGACCAGCCACACUGGGACUGAGACACGGCCCAGACUCCUACGGGAGGCAGCAGUGGGGAAUUUUGGACAAUGGGCGCAAGCCUGAUCCAGCAAUGCCGCGUGCAGGAAGAAGGCCUUCGGGUUGUAAACUGCUUUUGUACGGAACGAAACGGCUCUGGUUAAUACCUGGGGCUAAUGACGGUACCGUAAGAAUAAGCACCGGCUAACUACGUGC
Molecule: ribosomal RNA, 483 nt
Filed under: uncultured bacterium
Lineage: Bacteria
Description: bacterial SSU rRNA
Rfam family: Bacterial small subunit ribosomal RNA
Source: RNAcentral